RNAcentral lists this ribosomal RNA (492 nucleotides) under uncultured bacterium. RNAcentral's name for it is "partial 16S ribosomal RNA". It matches the Rfam family "Bacterial small subunit ribosomal RNA", at positions 28 to 507 of the family's 1533-position model. The record is from RNAcentral.
GAUGAACGCUAGCUACAGGCUUAACACAUGCAAGUCGAGGGGAAACGGCAUUAAGUGCUUGCACUUUUUGGACGUCGACCGGCGCACGGGUGAGUAACGCGUAUCCAACCUUCCCAUGACUAAGGGAUAACCUGCCGAAAGGCAGACUAAUACCUUAUGGUCUUCACUGACGGCAUCAGAUGUGAAGUAAAGAUUUAUCGGUUAUGGAUGGGGAUGCGUCUGAUUAGCUUGUUGGCGGGGUAACGGCCCACCAAGGCAACGAUCAGUAGGGGUUCUGAGAGGAAGGUCCCCCACAUUGGAACUGAGACACGGUCCAAACUCCUACGGGAGGCAGCAGUGAGGAAUAUUGAUCAAUGGGCGAGAGCCUGAACCAGCCAAGUAGCGUGCAGGAUGACGGCCCUAUGGGUUGUAAACUGCUUUUGUAUGGGGAUAAAGUCAAUCACGUGUGAUUGUUUGCAGGUACCAUACGAAUAAGGACCGGCUAAUUCCGUG